AGAGUUUGAUCAUGGCUCAGGACGAACGCUGGCGGCGCGCCUAAAACAUGCAAGUCGAGCGAGAACCAGGACUUCGGUCCUGGGGACAGCGGCGAACGGGUGCGUAACACGUGAGCAACCUGCCCCGAAGACCGGGACAAGCCGGGGAAACCUGGUCUAAUACCGGAUGCCCUCACCGGAUCGCAUGAUCUGGCGAGGAAAUGGAUUCCGCUUCGGGAUGGGCUCGCGGUCUAUCAGCUUGUUGGUGGGGUAACGGCCUACCAAGGCGACGACGGAUAGCUGGUCUGAGAGGACGAUCAGCCACACUGGGACUGAGACACGGCCCAGACUCCUACGGGAGGCAGCAGUUAGGAAUCUUGCGCAAUGGGGGAAACCCUGACGCAGCGACGCCGCGUGCGGGAUGAAGGCCUUCGGGUUGUAAACCGCUUUCAGCAGGGACGAAAUUGACGGUACCUGCAGAAGAAGGCCCGGCCAACUACGUGCCAGCAGCCGCGGUA
Molecule: ribosomal RNA, 497 nt
Filed under: uncultured Actinomycetes bacterium
Lineage: Bacteria; Bacillati; Actinomycetota; Actinomycetes
Description: bacterial SSU rRNA
Rfam family: Bacterial small subunit ribosomal RNA
Source: RNAcentral